This is a non-coding RNA of Daphnia pulex (common water flea), 136 nucleotides long. Lineage: Eukaryota; Metazoa; Arthropoda; Branchiopoda; Diplostraca; Daphniidae. The record is from Rfam.
UAAAAGGGUGCUUUCUACUAAAUGGUACACUCACUAAAAACCCUUAAAAGGGAUGGGUGAGUGGGGUAUGGCCAUCAAGACAUACCUAGCACAUAAUAUUUGGACUUGGGACAGUUGAUGUAACAUCGACGUCCCC